Molecule: ribosomal RNA, 752 nt
Filed under: uncultured archaeon
Lineage: Archaea
Description: bacterial SSU rRNA
Rfam family: Archaeal small subunit ribosomal RNA
Source: RNAcentral
GGACAACCUACCCUAAGGUGGGGGAUAACCCCGGGAAACUGGGGAUAAUACCCCAUAGACUAGAGAAGCUGGAAUGCUCUCAAGUUCAAAGGUCCGCCGCCUUAGGAUGGGUCUGCGGUCGAUUAGGUUGUUGUUGGGGUAACGGCCCAACAAGCCCGUGAUCGAUACGGGUUGUGAGAGCAAGAGCCCGGAGAUGGAUUCUGAGACACGAAUCCAGGCCCUACGGGGCGCAGCAGGCGCGAAAACUUUACAAUGCGGGAAACCGUGAUAAGGGAACCCCGAGUGCCCGUAAAUUCGGGCUGUCCAUCAGCGUAAAUAACUGGUGAAGAAAGGGCCGGGCAAGACCGGUGCCAGCCGCCGCGGUAAUACCGGCGGCUCGAGUGGUGGCCACUAUUAUUGGGCUUAAAGCGUCCGUAGCUUGGUUGUUAAGUCUCUUGGGAAAUCUACCGGCUCAACCGGUAGGCGUUCAGGAGAUACUGGCAAUCUAGGGACCGGGAGAGGUGAGAGGUACUCCAGGGGUAGGAGUGAAAUCCUGUAAUCCUUGGGGGACCACCUGUGGCGAAGGCGUCUCACUAGAACGGCUCCGACAGUGAGGGACGAAAGCUGGGGGAGCAAACCGGAUUAGAUACCCGGGUAGUCCCAGCUGUAAACGAUGCGCGUUAGGUGUAUCGGUGACCACGAGUCACCGAGGUGCCGAAGGGAAACCGUGAAACGUGCCGCCUGGGAAGUACGGUCGCAAGGCUGAAACUUAA